Epinephelus fuscoguttatus (brown-marbled grouper) is the source of this 672-nucleotide long non-coding RNA. RefSeq lists it as uncharacterized. Lineage: Eukaryota; Metazoa; Chordata; Actinopteri; Perciformes; Serranidae. The record is from RefSeq and is a predicted model, not a curated record. The transcript has 3 exons.
UUUACUUUGAAAACGGGAGGUGAACCUACCCUUGAUGUAGCUAGCUUGAAACCGCCGUUUUGACCGAUCUCGUCCCGUUAACGGAAUUUGACCGUACAAAAUGCCUCACCGGAGAGUCCUCUCAGCUCUGAGACGAAGAUCGGCCCGCCGUCUUCGGUACAGAAUGAUGCUCGCAAUCGACCUGGGAUUGUUCGCAGAUGACUUCAUUACCACUACCAGGCUGCCAAUAACAGCAAACCAGAAAAACAAGAAAGGAACAACCUAAAAAACAAUAUACAAGGAGCUGCUGGACAACUGAAUUUCCCUUUGGGAAAAAUGAAGUUCUUUCUAUUCUAUUCUAUUCUAUUCUAUUCUAUUCUAAGCUGUAUUGUGGCCUAUACGAGCUAAUUGGGGAUGACACAGCUUAUAUAAAGGAAAAAUGGGAAAAGGAAGGGAACUUUACUUAACAAUUGGAAACUGGAAUUUAUGGAAAAUUGAAUAAACAACAAUGGAAAAGUACUUAAGCCCUGUCUUGGAGAGAAUUUGGAUGGAAAAAAUUCAUUCAAUUCUUUAAAACACCAGCACAGAAUAAUUUUUCAAAUAAAAACAUCCCAUGUUGGAGGUCCUGUGGGGAAAAAAAGCAAACCAUUACCAUGUAUUCUGGCAGUGUCCACUGCUCCUGAACAAUUGAAA